CCUGGCUCAGGAUGAACGCUGGCGGCGUGCCUAACACAUGCAAGUCGAACGAAGCACUUUCCGAGGAAGAGGCGUGCUUGCACAAAUCGGACUCAUUAAAGUGACUUAGUGGCGGACGGGUGAGUAACGCGUGGGUAACCUGCCUUAUACAGGGGGAUAACAGUUAGAAUGACUGCUAAUACCGCAUAAGCGCACGGUAUCGCAUGAUACAGUGUGAAAAGCGUAACGGUAUAAGAUGGACCCGCGUCUGAUUAGCCAGUUGGUGAGGUAACGGCUCACCAAAGCGACGAUCAGUAGCCGGCCUGAGAGGGGUGAACGGCCACAUUGGGACUGAGACACGGCCCAAACUCCUACGGGAGGCAGCAGUGGGGGAUAUUGCACAAUGGGGGGAAACCCUGAUGCAAGCGACGCCGCGUGAGUGAUGAAGUAUUUCGGUAUGUAAAGCUCUAUCAGCAGGGAAGAAAAUGACGGUACCUGACUAAGAAGCCCCGGCUAACUACGUGCCAGCCGCCGC
RNAcentral lists this ribosomal RNA (514 nucleotides) under uncultured bacterium. RNAcentral's name for it is "bacterial SSU rRNA". It matches the Rfam family "Bacterial small subunit ribosomal RNA", at positions 18 to 518 of the family's 1533-position model. The record is from RNAcentral.